This 253-nucleotide ribosomal RNA is filed under the name uncultured bacterium. RNAcentral describes it as "partial 16S ribosomal RNA". It matches the Rfam family "Bacterial small subunit ribosomal RNA", at positions 524 to 776 of the family's 1533-position model. The record is from RNAcentral.
UACGUAGGCCCCAAGCGUUAUCCGGAAUUACUGGGUGUAAAGCGUCUGUAGGCGGGACAAUAAGUCUCUCAUGAAAGACCGAAGCUCAACUUCGUGUUUGUGAGGGAUACUGUUAUCCUAGAAUUAGGGAGAGGGAAGCGGAAUGGUAUGAGUAGGGGUGCAAUCCGUUGAUACAUAUCAGAACACCAAAAGCGAAGGCAGCUUCCUGGAACUAUAUUGACGCUGAGAGACGAAAGCGUGGGGAGCGAAAAGG